UACGUAGGGGGCAAGCGUUGUCCGGAAUCAUUGGGCGUAAAGCGCGUGUAGGCGGCUCAAUAAGUCUGCUGUGAAAGUCCAGGGCUCAACCCUGGGAUGCCGGUGGAUACUGUCGAGCUCGAGUCCGGAAGAGGCGAGUGGAAUUCCUAGUGUAGCGGUGAAAUGCGCAGAUAUCAGGAGGAACACCAAUGGCGAAGGCAGCUCGCUGGGACGUGACUGACGCUGAGACGCGAAAGCGUGGGGAGCAAACAGG
RNAcentral lists this ribosomal RNA (253 nucleotides) under uncultured bacterium. RNAcentral's name for it is "partial 16S ribosomal RNA". It matches the Rfam family "Bacterial small subunit ribosomal RNA", at positions 524 to 776 of the family's 1533-position model. The record is from RNAcentral.